GAUUAAGUGUCGUAAGGGCAUUUGGUGGAUGCCUUGGCAUGCACAGGCGAUGAAGGACGUGAUACGCUGCGAAAAGCCGUGGGGAGCUGCGAAUGAGCUUUGAUCCAUGGAUCUCCGAAUGGGGCAACCCACCUUAAAUGCUUGGGAAUCUGGCGCCGCAGGCGCCGCGAAUA
This 173-nucleotide ribosomal RNA is filed under the name Pantoea vagans. RNAcentral describes it as "partial 23S ribosomal RNA". It matches the Rfam family "Bacterial large subunit ribosomal RNA", at positions 1 to 185 of the family's 2925-position model. The record is from RNAcentral. Lineage: Bacteria; Pseudomonadati; Pseudomonadota; Gammaproteobacteria; Enterobacterales; Erwiniaceae.